UUAGAGUUGCGGAAUCGCUAGAGCAUCGGUCACGUUUGGAGUUGAGAAAGUCAUCACCCAUACCACCUCGACUAGUCUUCUUUGCAACAAUCUGAACACUCGGUAAAACUUGUAGGUGUUCUGGAAAUGAACUAUACAUCUGAUGAUCAGCCGAACCCCUAUGGUGAAAUUUGUAUCAGGGGUCCCAUUAUUUUUCAAGGAUAUUACAAAGAUGAAGUUCAAACGAGAGAAGUCAUUGAUGAAGAGGGAUGGCUGCAUACAAGAGAUAUUAGAACAUGGAUAGCUGUGUAAUAAGGCCUUGGAAGCACAAUAAGAUUCGAGGUG
Vicia villosa (hairy vetch) is the source of this 324-nucleotide long non-coding RNA. RefSeq lists it as uncharacterized. The record is from RefSeq and is a predicted model, not a curated record. NCBI's taxonomy places the organism in Eukaryota, Viridiplantae, Streptophyta, Magnoliopsida, Fabales, Fabaceae. The transcript is spliced from 4 exons.